CCUGUCACUAGUGUUACUUUAAUUUUAAAUAUCACAUUUUUAUUCAUCCAACUACAGGUCAGGAGCUAUCUCCCUAUUGUUGAAAAAGUUUGACAGAACAUUUGUAUAUGUCACCGAACAUCCUUCAGUGUGCACGGGGACUGAUAGGAGUCCACUGACUUUAACCCAUUAAAGACCAAACUUCUGGAAUAAAAGGGAAUCAUGAC
Pelobates cultripes (western spadefoot toad) is the source of this 206-nucleotide non-coding RNA. NCBI's taxonomy places the organism in Eukaryota, Metazoa, Chordata, Amphibia, Anura, Pelobatidae. The record is from the annotation of a GenBank genome assembly.